Molecule: ribosomal RNA, 316 nt
Filed under: Klebsiella pneumoniae
Lineage: Bacteria; Pseudomonadati; Pseudomonadota; Gammaproteobacteria; Enterobacterales; Enterobacteriaceae
Description: partial 23S ribosomal RNA
Rfam family: Bacterial large subunit ribosomal RNA
Source: RNAcentral
CGAAGUUAGUGACGUCACACUGCCAAGAAAAGCUUCUAGCGUUUAAACAUACUCUACCCGUACCGCAAACCGACACAGGUAGUCGAGGCGAGUAGCCUCAGGUGAGCGAGAGAACUCUCGUUAAGGAACUCGGCAAAAUGACCCCGUAACUUCGGGAGAAGGGGUGCUGACUUUAAGUCAGCCGCAGUGAAUAGGCCCAAGCAACUGUUUAUCAAAAACACAGCUCUCUGCUAAAUCGUAAGAUGAUGUAUAGGGGGUGACGCCUGCCCGGUGCUGGAAGGUUAAGAGGAGUGCUUAGCGUAAGCGAAGGUAUGAA